GACGAACGCUGGCGGCGUGCCUAAUACAUGCAAGUAGAACGCUGAAGGAGGAGCUUGCUUCUCUGGAUGAGUUGCGAACGGGUGAGUAACGCGUAGGUAACCUGCCUGGUAGCGGGGGACAACUAUUGGAAACGAUAGCUAAUACCGCAUAAGAGUAGAUGUUGCAUGACAUUUGCUUAAAAGGUGCAAUUGCAUCACUACCAGAUGGACCUGCGUUGUAUUAGCUAGUUGGUGGGGUAACGGCUCACCAAGGCGACGAUACAUAGCCGACCUGAGAGGGUGAUCGGCCACACUGGGACUGAGACACGGCCCAGACUCCUACGGGAGGCAGCAGUAGGGAAUCUUCGGCAAUGGACGGAAGUCUGACCGAGCAACGCCGCGUGAGUGAAGAAGGUUUUCGGAUCGUAAAGCUCUGUUGUAAGAGAAGAACGAGUGUGAGAGUGGAAAGUUCACACUGUGACGGUAUCUUACCAGAAAGGGACGGCUAACUACGUG
This 495-nucleotide ribosomal RNA is filed under the name uncultured bacterium. Its description in RNAcentral is "partial 16S ribosomal RNA". It matches the Rfam family "Bacterial small subunit ribosomal RNA", at positions 28 to 507 of the family's 1533-position model. The record is from RNAcentral.